GCGCGAGUGGCUCAGUGGUGGAGCACCUCCUUGCCAAGGAGGGGGUCGCGGGUUCGAUCCCCGUCUCGCGCUCUA
This 75-nucleotide transfer RNA is filed under the name Lachnospira eligens. RNAcentral describes it as "[Eubacterium] eligens tRNA-Gly". It matches the Rfam family "tRNA". Rfam says of the family: Transfer RNA (tRNA) molecules are approximately 80 nucleotides in length. Their secondary structure includes four short double-helical elements and three loops (D, anti-codon, and T loops). RNAcentral also lists the same sequence under 3 other names. The record is from RNAcentral. Lineage: Bacteria; Bacillati; Bacillota; Clostridia; Lachnospirales; Lachnospiraceae.